GGUGAAUUUUCCGCAAUGGGCGAAAGCCUGACGGAGCAAUACCGCGUGAGGGAGGAAGGCUCUUGGGUCGUAAACCUCUUUUCUCAGGGAAGAACACAAUGACGGUACCUGAGGAAUAAGCAUCGGCUAACUCCGUGCCAGCAGCCGCGGUAAUACGGAGGAUGCAAGCGUUAUCCGGAAUGAUUGGGCGUAAAGCGUCCGCAGGUGGCGAUGUAAGUCUGCUGUUAAAGAGUCUAGCUCAACUAGAUAAGAGCAGUGGAAACUACAUAGCUAGAGUACGUUCGGGGCAGAGGGAAUUCCUGGUGUAGCGGUGAAAUGCGUAGAGAUCAGGAAGAACACCAGUGGCGAAGGCGCUCUGCUAGGCCGUAACUGACACUGAGGGACGAAAGCUAGGGGAGCGAAUGGGAUUAGAUACCCCAGUAGUCCUAGCCGUAAACGAUGGAUACUAGGCGUGGCUUGUAUCGACCCGAGCCGUGCCGUAGCUAACGCGUUAAGUAUCC
RNAcentral lists this ribosomal RNA (500 nucleotides) under uncultured cyanobacterium. RNAcentral's name for it is "bacterial SSU rRNA". It matches the Rfam family "Bacterial small subunit ribosomal RNA", at positions 356 to 869 of the family's 1533-position model. Lineage: Bacteria; Bacillati; Cyanobacteriota. The record is from RNAcentral.